CACGUAGGGCGCGAGCGUUGUCCGGAAUUAUUGGGCGUAAAGAGCUCGUAGGCGGCCUGUUGCGUCCGCUGUGAAAGCCCGGGGCUUAACCCCCGGGUCUGCAGUGGAUACGGGCAGGCUGGAGGCAGGCAGGGGAGAACGGAAUUCCCGGUGUAGCGGUGAAAUGCGCAGAUAUCGGGAGGAACACCGGUGGCGAAGGCGGUUCUCUGGGCCUGUACUGACGCUGAGGAGCGAAAGCGUGGGGAGCGAACAGG
RNAcentral lists this ribosomal RNA (254 nucleotides) under uncultured bacterium. Its description in RNAcentral is "partial 16S ribosomal RNA". It matches the Rfam family "Bacterial small subunit ribosomal RNA", at positions 524 to 776 of the family's 1533-position model. The record is from RNAcentral.